CCUACGGGGGGCAGCAGUGAGGAAUAUUGGUCAAUGGACGGAAGUCUGAACCAGCCAUGCCGCGUGCAGGAAGACGGCUCUAUGAGUUGUAAACUGCUUUUGUACAAGGGUAAACCUGAAUACGUGUAUUCAGCUGAAAGUACUGUACGAAUAAGGAUCGGCUAACUCCGUGCCAGCAGCCGCGGUAAUACGGAGGAUCCAAGCGUUAUCCGGAUUUAUUGGGUAUAAAGGGUGCGUAGGCGGAUUGAUAAGUUAGGGGUGAAAUGUCGGCGCUUAACUCGGGAACUGCUGCUAAUAGUGUGGAUCUAGAGAGUAGAAGCGGUAGGCGGAAUGUAUGGUGUAGCGGUGAGAUGCUUAGAGAUCAUGCAGAACAACGAUUGAGAAGGCAGCUUACAAAUCUAUAUCUGACGUUGAGGCACGAAAGCGUGGGGAGCAAACAGGAUUAGAUACCCUUAGUC
RNAcentral lists this ribosomal RNA (458 nucleotides) under uncultured bacterium. RNAcentral's name for it is "partial 16S ribosomal RNA". It matches the Rfam family "Bacterial small subunit ribosomal RNA", at positions 338 to 795 of the family's 1533-position model. The record is from RNAcentral.